UGGUGCGAUCAUACCAGAACUAAUGCACCGGAUCCCAUCUAAACUCCGUAGUUAAGCUUGCUUGGGCGAGAGUAGUACUAAGAUAGGUGACCUUCUAGGAAGUCCUCGUGUUGGACCCU
Non-coding RNA from Beta vulgaris subsp. vulgaris (sugar beet), 119 nucleotides. Lineage: Eukaryota; Viridiplantae; Streptophyta; Magnoliopsida; Caryophyllales; Amaranthaceae. The record is from Rfam.